Molecule: ribosomal RNA, 456 nt
Filed under: uncultured Stenotrophomonas sp.
Lineage: Bacteria; Pseudomonadati; Pseudomonadota; Gammaproteobacteria; Lysobacterales; Lysobacteraceae
Description: bacterial SSU rRNA
Rfam family: Bacterial small subunit ribosomal RNA
Source: RNAcentral
CCCGCACAAGCGGUGGAGUAUGUGGUUUAAUUCGAUGCAACGCGAAAAACCUUACCUGCCCUUGACAUCCUCGGAACUUGUCAGAGAUGACUUGGUGCCUUCGGGAACCGAGAGACAGGUGCUGCAUGGCUGUCGUCAGCUCGUGUCGUGAGAUGUUGGGUUAAGUCCCGCAACGAGCGCAACCCUUGCCAUUAGUUGCUACGAAAGGGCACUCUAAUGGGACUGCCGGUGACAAACCGGAGGAAGGUGGGGAUGACGUCAAGUCCUCAUGGCCCUUAUAGGUGGGGCUACACACGUCAUACAAUGGCCGGUACAGAGGGUAGCCAACCCGCGAGGGGGAGCCAAUCCCACAAAGCCGGUCGUAGUCCGGAUCGCAGUCUGCAACUCGACUGCGUGAAGUCGGAAUCGCUAGUAAUCGCGGAUCAGCAUGUCGCGGUGAAUACGUUCCCGGGUCUU